Long non-coding RNA from Saccostrea cuccullata (small rock oyster), 1684 nucleotides. RefSeq lists it as uncharacterized. The record is from RefSeq and is a predicted model, not a curated record. NCBI's taxonomy places the organism in Eukaryota, Metazoa, Mollusca, Bivalvia, Ostreida, Ostreidae. The transcript has 2 exons.
UUGACUGGAUUUAUUUUUCUGAAAAAAGGAACAAUUACAAGGCUCAAGAUGGUAUUCAAUAGAGUGAAAAACUUUAUAUCCUACUGGUAUCUACAAUAUCUUUUGGCAACAUCUGUAUACAUGUUGGAGCCCCUGGAAAGAAGAGUCUUUAAUUGCUUGUUGAUUAUUGUGCUGGCGAUGUUCAUGUAUACAAGUUAUGUUUUCCUUCCGGGCCAUGCCAGAAUGAUUAUUUAUUUCAUAAAUACAUACAUACUGGGAGGAAAUCCAUCAGAUGCAAGUGUGUAAGGGACAGAUGAGCACGAAAGGGGGGAAAGCUUUGAAGAAGAAAUAUAGAUGGACACAAAGUGAUCUCGAAGGUUGUUCUUUAUUAUGAAGAAGAUGCCGGUGCAAUGGAAACCAAAGAAAAAAAACUAGAAAUAGAUUGAUUUACAGUUUACUUGUACAUACAUGUAAAUGAGUUUAUUAUAUUGUUACCUUCACCCUCAUUGGAAUUCGAAAUAGACAUGUACUUCAUUGAGUUUAUUGUCAUCAUCAAUUCCUCACAGUCAUUUGAAUCAAGUUGUUGUGUACAUAUAUGUUAUUCUAAAGAAGACAUGCCACUUCAUCAUAGAAAUCAUAAUUUACUUGAUUUGAUUUGAACAUAUUUUAUUGCUAAUACUUUACAAUUGGGAUUGGGCAAAAGUUCUAAAAACUUAUUACGCCCUCUCCCUAAUUUACUUAAUUUACUUAAGGUUAGUCAAGAUAUGUCUAUGGCCCAUCAUUUAUUUCAACACCAUUUAUUCAUUGUUUAUUUUCUGGACAUAUUUUAGCUUUUAAUAUGUUGUACAUAUAAGCUGUACCAAAUGUUAAUUAUUAGAGGCAAUGUAUAGAAGCAGGAAAAUUUGUGUAAAGGCGUGUAAAUACUGCUCUUGUCAACAUUAUAUUAUUUUUUAUGCAUAAGUCCUUAUCUUGCCAUCAGUGUUUCUAAAGGUGUUAAUUACGCAUUUCUCAUUUGUGUCAUAUGAAAUUGCUACGCAAUGAUGCAGCCAUUAUGGUGAUAUAUGGAAAUAUUUUUACAAAUUUGAUUUCAAAGAUACUUAUGUUUGAAUAUUUCUGUUAUCAAUAUUCCAUAUAAACCCAGUUCUUUGACCUUGCAGUACGCAAUCUUGGAUAUGAUCAGUACAUGUACUUUAUGGUGUGUUUUAGAGUUGUAUAACAUUGAUAUAUUCUGAUUCAUUAUUAUUAAAACCAAUUUUUUGUGUUUAAAUACAUGUAUAUAAACAAUGUGAUUGAGAAAAAAGACUUAUCAAUGUACCCUUAAUAUGAUGGGUUGGUAUGUGCCAUUUUGUUAUUCUAAGCUCUAUGUAGUACUUUUUCUAUUGGUUUUAAAAUUGAAUUAAAAGAUAUAAAGGCCUUUUGUCUUUCUUGUUUGCCCAUCUUCUUUGUGAAGAACUUCCAGACCUCUGAUAUUAAUUAUUUUGUAAAUAAUUUUAAAAUUUAAUUUCAACAAAUUUUUUAUUACGCACUCGCAUAUAUGAACAAGGCCAGUGUUAACUGCUUGCCAUUAAAGUCUGUUAAUUAUUUUAAUUGUCUUGAUUGUAAAAGAGUGAAAGAAAAUGAAAACUGUUAAAAGUCUAAAUAAAUGUACAAUGUACGACUGUUUAAUAACUUUACUUAAUAAAAAUGUACAUAUUCCAAUAUUAAA